Molecule: ribosomal RNA, 496 nt
Filed under: Chrysomela walshi
Lineage: Eukaryota; Metazoa; Arthropoda; Insecta; Coleoptera; Chrysomelidae
Description: partial 16S ribosomal RNA
Rfam family: Bacterial large subunit ribosomal RNA
Source: RNAcentral
UAAUUUAAAGUCUAGCCUGCCCAAUGAUAAUUGAAUGGCCGCGGUAUUUUGACCGUGCUAAGGUAGCAUAAUCAAUAGUUUUUUAAUUGAAAGCUGGAAUGAAGGGUUGGAUAAAAAAAUAACUGUUUCUAUUUAAUUUAAUUAGAAUUUUAUAUUUAAGUUAAAAAGCUUAAAUUUUGUUAAAAGACGAGAAGACCCUAUAGAGUUUAAUAAAUAAUUAUAUUAUUAUAUUUAGAAUUAAUUUUAUUAGUUAUAUUAUUUAUUUAAUUGGGGUGAUUAAAAAAUUCAAAUAACUUUUUUUAUAUUAUAACAUUUAUAGAUGAAUAUUUGAUCCAUGGUUAAUGAUUAAAAGAUAAAAUUACCUUAGGGAUAACAGCGUUAUUUUUUUUUAGAGUUCAAAUCGAAAGAAAAGAUUGCGACCUCGAUGUUGGAUUAAAAUAAAUUUUUGGUGUAGAAGCUAAAAUAUUAGGUCUGUUCGACCUUUAAAAUUUUACAU